AGACAGCAGUCGCCGCGGGAAUACGUAGGUGGCAAGCGUUGUCCGGAAUUAUUGGGCGUAAAGGGCUCGCAGGCGGUUUCUUAAGUCUGAUGUGAAAGCCCCCGGCUCAACCGGGGAGGGUCAUUGGAAACUGGGAAACUUGAGUGCAGAAGAGGAGAGUGGAAUUCCACGUGUAGCGGUGAAAUGCGUAGAGAUGUGGAGGAACACCAGUGGCGAAGGCGACUCUCUGGUCUGUAACUGACGCUGAGGAGCGAAAGCGUGGGGAGCGAACAGGAUUAGAUACCCCCGUAGUCCCUGUCUCUUAUAC
RNAcentral lists this ribosomal RNA (307 nucleotides) under uncultured bacterium. RNAcentral describes it as "partial 16S ribosomal RNA". It matches the Rfam family "Bacterial small subunit ribosomal RNA", at positions 506 to 807 of the family's 1533-position model. The record is from RNAcentral.